RNAcentral lists this ribosomal RNA (253 nucleotides) under uncultured bacterium. RNAcentral describes it as "partial 16S ribosomal RNA". It matches the Rfam family "Bacterial small subunit ribosomal RNA", at positions 524 to 776 of the family's 1533-position model. The record is from RNAcentral.
UACGGGGGGGGCAAGCGUUGUUCGGAAUUACUGGGCGUAAAGGGUUCGUAGGUGGCCCGCUAAGUCACACGUGAAAUCCCUCAGCUUAACUGGGGAACUGCGUGUGAGACUGGCAGGCUUGAGUGCAGGAGAGGAACGCGGAAUUCCAGGUGUAGCGGUGAAAUGCGUAGAUAUCUGGAGGAACACCGGUGGCGAAGGCGGCGUUCUGGACUGUAUCUGACACUGAGACGCGAAAGCGUGGGGAGCAAACAGG